GUUGGGGUUAGGGCUGGUUGGUGUUGGGGUUAGGGUUAGUUGGGGUCAAGGUUGAGGUUGGGCUUAGGGUUAAGGUUGGUCUGGGUUAGGUUUAGGGUUGGUCUGGUUACCUGCUCUGAUCUGUCCCACUGCUUUUCUGGUCAUCAGACUUUACUUUCUCUUGUCUCAUACUUGAUAUUUGUGAGUUUUCUGGUUCUCAUGGUUCUGGUCACCAAAGGCUUUUUGGAGGAGUUGUUUUUGCUGCCUUAUACUUGGUCAUGUGCCACUUUAACAUGCGCUUUCCCCUUACUUUUACUUUUCUGCACCUGGCAGUUAUUACAGUGCUUCGUUUUGCCUGGCUGCUUAUGUGGCCUGAGGUUUCUGUGGUGUCAUACCCAGUAGAGUCUACAGUACCUUUUGCUUUUAAUCAGUUAAACUUUUCAGAAAGAGUUACUUUGUUAACAUAGAGCUUUACGGUAUAAUUUCGUGUAAUUCAGCGUGAUAAAUAUAAGAGGCAUGUGAUGCACUAUUGUCACAGCGCUGGCUCUCCAUGUGCCAUUUUCCUGCAGCUGUCUGAGCAGGUCGAGCGGCUACGUGUCCCAGCUGUCUAAGUGCAGUGGCCCGGCCCACUUGCUCCUGGCCUAUUGCCCCUUGCAACUGGAGUUGAGGGCUGACCAUACCUGCUUGGUGUCGCCAUGACAGUGUGGCUCCACUCAGCAGCCCACAACUUCUCUAUUCUCACAAUCUUGUUCUGGACAUACACUGGAUUCACUGCCAACGAGCCCAUAGGCCUCAGGUCAGUGCUAUUGAGCAGGAGAGACCUCCAGGGGGCAGCCUGUUCAUGUGCCGUCUGUACUUCUCCAUACUGUACCUGUCAGGUAGUGAAACACUGGUGCUUGAUCCGUUAUGCACGAAUAUUAAUGUGCAGGAAAUUCAGCCCCAAGUGCGUAAUAUGAAACACCAGCCAACAAGGGCUUCAGCUGCCAGGAGUAGCGUUAUACAGUACAGUGCGUUGUGUUCUUGUAGCCUUCUCGACUACAGCAUUUUCAUGUGGGUCUCAAUCUCUCAGUACAACAAAGCAACAUAUCAGCUAUCCAAAAGUAUUUAUGCACCAUUUGCUUUUUUCCUGACCAUAGCUGUCCUACAGUUGUGGUGUUAUUUUACUGAUUACAGUCAGGUGAAAAUAGUUUCAUACUCGUUUGGCCUAAGCUUGGAUAAAUCAGUAGAAUUAGUUUUUAAAUUCUAACCCAACUGCUAGACGACUGACCUUUACCCUAGUUGGCGAGUUAGCGUAGGUGCUUGGUUCAGAUUGUUUCAAGUACACCUGUAGGAGCUCUUCUGACCUGUAGUUAUCAAGCAAACACACAAAUGAUUGUUCCUGCCUCUCAGAGGUCCUGCCGCCUCUCUCUAGUUUAAUUUGAUCCUCUGCAUCUGCUUAGGACUUUUGCAGUUAUAUGUUAUGAAGGUUACAGUUUUGAUGUCAAAUGGGGUUCUCAAAUUGCCAGCAUGGAAAUGUUAAAGGUGAGGUUUCGCCUGCCUGGGAGAGUGUCGUACACAUGCAUGGUCCUCCCAGCAGAGCUGAGGACAUGCUGGUGAAUUUUAAAGUAACAUUGUGAAACAGCUGUUUCAGAAAAGGGGAUUUUGUGUGUAAAAAAAAAAAAAAAAAAAGUUGUGUUUGUGACAAUCUGUCUUCGUUAAGACUUUAAAUGGGUACUAAAUGGGUGGAAUGGGUAUCUUGGGAGGCUCUGUGUAUCUGCCCAACAACAGCAUAGCUAACUGAACUGUACAUCCUUUAAAAUGUGUCCAGUUUGCUUUCAUGCACAAAAGAUAUUAAUAUUAAAUGUCCUCAAAAGAUAGAGAUUAUUUACCUGGAGGGUUUGAUUAUUAGAAGUAUUUAUUUUCAGACAGAGGUGUCUAUAUUGUUGGCAUGACCCCGUGUUAAGAAGCUCAUCAUCAUGCUGCCUUGCCUGUAUCCUGUUGUUUCUGUAGCUGGUAGCUGAUUGGUACCUGGUCGUGUAAAGCUUGCUUGCACAGGAGAUUAUGUAUUUGAUUAUAUUUUACUUAGUAGAGGCUCCAAGACAAAAAGAAAACUGUUUUGUGCAAUAUUAAAAUGCUCUCUGGCUCUUUCCAGUCUUGUGUUUCUAGUGUCAUUAGUCUCACGUGAAGCACUUUAGAAACAUUCAUGGGUCUGCAGUUAGGAAAUUUGUAAACUCUGUUUUCUCUGCAGUGGGGCCACACAGUGGACAGUGUAAAUAAGGUAGAACCUCAUGGUAGAAGUGUUUUCAACCUAUGCUGCACAAACAAACGUCCAUCCCACUGCUACAGCCUGUGUGAACCUUACAGCUGGGUGUCCACACAAGUAGACAUGCUACCUUGAUGGGUUAGUUGCAGUGUUGUAGUUGACACCUGUUACCUGGAAGUGAGGAUUCACAUGGAGUGAAAAGGCAGGAACUGCAGUUUGUGAGUCCCGAUCAAAUGCAAGCUGUUCCCUCUGUCCUUCGCUCACAUUUAUGGUCGUUCUGUUCUCCCGACUCAGAAAUGCUUCAUGGUGUCUCAGCACGGAUGCUCUGACAGGGGAACCCAUCCUUGUUCACUGUCUCUCAUCCUGUUUUAAUGUUACAUGUUACAUUGAGACCGACUGUGUGCCAUUAUAAUGUAUAAAUUGUAAAUUUUAAUGAAUGAUGUAGUUUUCCAUGUCUGAGGUCUCCUUCUUUCUCAUUGAUCAUUUCCAUACGCAAUUGCUGUUUCCCAACAGAAAGCAGUCAUACAUAACCUGAUUAGAUGUAUCUGGGUUCAUUGGUGCAGUCUGGUGCAUUAUCACAAACCAAUAAGGACUGGCCUAGUGAUCUAAAUGUCUGUGCCGGUCCAACCGUACCUGUUGAGUGUCUGUGGAACGAAAGUAAGCACUUUGUUUUGCAUAUUUUAAAUAAGGCGUAAAUAUGAUGAAAACGCUCAACAAAGCCAUGCAAAGUGAUCCAAACGUGGGUCAAUGACAUGAAACCUGAUUUAUUUUAUUUUUUUCCUUUAAAGUGAUUAAAUUUGUUUUGAAUGUUUUUGCAAGUUUUACAUUUCGCCAUUUUAAUUUGUAGUCUUUAUGAUGCAUUCUAGAACUUAGUUUUGAAAUAAUAUAUCACAGUCUAAAUACCACGGGGAUGGAGGUGGAUACACCGCAGCCAAGAAGAUGGUGAUCAUGUUAUUUUGGUUAGUUCAAGAGGAACCGCACAAUGGCAAUUGUAAUUUUAAAAUCACCCAUUUGCACUACACAACCAGACUGGAGGUUACGGCCGUGGGUACAGUGUACCUCGUCCUAAACAUUUGACAUAUUACGAUACACCCUGUACACGUAGAUUUGCAAACCAUUCCAAUUCAUUUGAAUUUGAUAUUCCAUAUGGGUCCCAACAGCUGACACCAAAGCUCUUCUGAAAAGAAUUAGCAGCAGCGUCAUGAACUGGCAUGACAGUUCAUCACUGAGCAAUGCUGUGCUAAAGGCUCAGCGAUUAAAAAAAGCCCGAACACAACAGCAUCUAUGCAUGAAAUGAUCCGUUCCAGACCAACAGCAUCUGGAGUCUUUAGUUGACUCUGGUAAUGGAGACUGGGAUCUUAUCUUUGACAAGGUACAGUUGCAUUCUGAUUUAUUGGCUACGAACAUUUCACCCUACUGAAGGAAAGAAAUACAUUGAGAUAUUACUACUUAAUUGGUUUGCGUCGUAGUCUAAAGAUCAUUGAUGAAGACGAUGAACAGCUCAUGGCUUAGGAGAACAGUUGCUGUCCUGUGGACGUCUUGUUACUGAGAGAGUAAGGUCUGCUGAAUAUUCACCUUCUCUUAUGCUUGCGUGAAAUGUGUGAUUUACUGGAAGACCGUCACUCGAUUUGCUAUGACGCCAAGGAUGUGGGCAAAACACAUGUUGCCGUUGUGCAGAAUUUCAGGCAGUAACUAGACACACCACCUUCCACAGUAAAGAGAAGAGGAGCCGGUGUUUGAAGUCUGGCUGCAGCGUCCAGCUUGUGCUGAAAAACACUGAAGAAAUGACAAGUUUUUCCCCUGUAUAUGAGGUUAAACCAGGAAGAAACAACCAUCACGGUAAGGCUACGCUGUUGCUCAUUUUGUUCACUUACACUGGCUGCGUUCCAGUUUUGGCAGCCUUCAGAAUUGUAAAAUGGUACCAGAAAAUUUGUCCUUACUAUUACUAUUUGUCCUUUCUAUGCAUUGUGAGACAUUCUGGGCUUGUGAGAUUAAGUGAAAAGCCGUUGGUUGUCUGUGUCUGCAGCCAGUAACGGGGAAGGUGGUGUGUUCAUCUUGCAUCGUGGAAAUCACUGAGCUCAGCCCGUUCGACAGUCGUGGGGUAAAUCGUCUCUUUUGGAAUGGUUUGCAAAGCAAUUUGCUGCAGUCAUUUUUCUAGCUCAGAUUGUAACUUUUGAGGCAUUUGGUUAGGUAAUACCAAUAUUAAUAUUAAUACCAACAUCGCAUGUUAUGCACAUCCAAUUCUUACAUCGCUUCUGAAUAUUAGUGAGGUCCAAAUGAAUAAUCAUUUUAUAUGACUGUCUUCCAUGCAAUUCUAUGCUUAGGGCAGGUCAUUAAGCUCACACUACCUCGACUGACACAUUGUACACAUUGUACUCAGACACUCACACUGUAAUAGGAUUUAUUUCUUAUUUAUUACUUUAACUUAUGCUGCUGAACUAUUUUUCACUGUUUCUGUAAUAGUGACAUAAAGAUCGAUCUUAUCUUAUCUUUAUAGAC
This is a long non-coding RNA of Paramormyrops kingsleyae, 4720 nucleotides long. RefSeq lists it as uncharacterized. The record is from RefSeq and is a predicted model, not a curated record. NCBI's taxonomy places the organism in Eukaryota, Metazoa, Chordata, Actinopteri, Osteoglossiformes, Mormyridae.